UACGAGGGGGGCUAGCGUUGCUCGGAUUUACUGGGCGUAAAGGGCGCGUAGGCGGACAGUUUAGUCAGAGGUGAAAGCCCGGGGCUCAACCUCGGAAUUGCCUUUGAUACUGGCUGUCUUGAGUACGGGAGAGGUGUGUGGAACUCCGAGUGUAGAGGUGAAAUUCGUAGAUAUUCGGAAGAAUACCAGUGGCGAAGGCGACACACUGGCCCGUUACUGACGCUGAGGUGCGAAAGCGUGGGGAGCAAACAGG
RNAcentral lists this ribosomal RNA (253 nucleotides) under uncultured bacterium. RNAcentral describes it as "partial 16S ribosomal RNA". It matches the Rfam family "Bacterial small subunit ribosomal RNA", at positions 524 to 776 of the family's 1533-position model. The record is from RNAcentral.